GACGAACGCUGGCGGCGUGCUUAACACAUGCAAGUCGAACGGAAAGGCCCUGCUUUUGUGGGGUGCUCGAGUGGCGAACGGGUGAGUAACACGUGAGUAACCUGCCCUUGACUUUGGGAUAACUUCAGGAAACUGGGGCUAAUACCGGAUAGGAGCUCCUGCUGCAUGGUGGGGGUUGGAAAGUUUCGGCGGUUGGGGAUGGACUCGCGGCUUAUCAGCUUGUUGGUGGGGUAGUGGCUUACCAAGGCUUUGACGGGUAGCCGGCCUGAGAGGGUGACCGGCCACAUUGGGACUGAGAUACGGCCCAGACUCCUACGGGAGGCAGCAGGGGGGAAUAUUGCACAAUGGGCGGAAGCCGGAUGCAGCAACGCCGCGUGCGGGAUGACGGCCUUCGGGUUGUAAACCGCUUUCGCCUGUGACGAAGCGUGAGUGACGGGAAUGGGUAAAGAAACACCGGCUAACUACGU
This 467-nucleotide ribosomal RNA is filed under the name uncultured bacterium. RNAcentral describes it as "partial 16S ribosomal RNA". It matches the Rfam family "Bacterial small subunit ribosomal RNA", at positions 28 to 506 of the family's 1533-position model. The record is from RNAcentral.